Molecule: long non-coding RNA, 574 nt
Filed under: Gossypium barbadense (sea-island cotton)
Lineage: Eukaryota; Viridiplantae; Streptophyta; Magnoliopsida; Malvales; Malvaceae
Description: long non-coding RNA (GBAR_LNC010253)
Source: RNAcentral
CAAGUUUGGCACAAAGCCUUGAUUAUUCAUCCAUAUUAACAUUAUUCAAGAAAUAAACCUGAGUCUUUUGUUGAUUAACCCAAUGCCUAGAGAAGUAACAGAAAGUAUCCAACACAUACUUCAGACAGUCAACACCUUUCAUAUAUGCCCUACAAAGAGGUUUUAGAUCAUCCGCAAAAAAAAUGAGAAACUUCUAGACCUCUACGAGAAAGCAUGAGUGGUUCCCAACAAUGUUGUUCGACUACCAUAUCAAUCAAUUGUCCUAAACGUUCCAUACCUAAAACAAAAAAAAUACGGAGUCGAAGGAUCACCUUGACAAACACCUCUAGAUGGAUUAAAUGACUCCGUGACAAGCCUAUUCCAAUGUAAUUGCAUGGAUGAUGAAGAAACGCAAUCCAUUAAAAUCCACACUAGAGCUUCCGGAAGUCUCGCAUCAAACAAAGUUCUUCGUAAAAAAUUCCAUCUAACCCAAUCAUAAACUUUCUUCAUAUCGACCUUUACAGCCAUCCAGCCCUUCUUACUCUUUAUAUUUUUCAUUGUAUUAAUAGCUUCUUGUGCCACUACUAUGUUAUCC